GACGAACGCUGGCGGCGUGCCUAAUACAUGCAAGUAGAACGCACAGGAUGCACCGUAGUUUACUACACCGUAUUCUGUGAGUUGCGAACGGGUGAGUAACGCGUAGGUAACCUGCCUGGUAGCGGGGGAUAACUAUUGGAAACGAUAGCUAAUACCGCAUAAGAACAUUUACUGCAUGGUAGAUGUUUAAAAGGUGCAAAUGCAUCACUACCAGAUGGACCUGCGUUGUAUUAGCUAGUAGGUGAGGUAACGGCUCACCUAGGCGACGAUACAUAGCCGACCUGAGAGGGUGAUCGGCCACACUGGGACUGAGACACGGCCCAGACUCCUACGGGAGGCAGCAGUAGGGAAUCUUCGGCAAUGGGGGGAACCCUGACCGAGCAACGCCGCGUGAGUGAAGAAGGUUUUCGGAUCGUAAAGCUCUGUUGUUAAGGAAGAACGAGUGUGAGAAUGGAAAGUUCAUACUGUGACGGACUAACCA
RNAcentral lists this ribosomal RNA (481 nucleotides) under Streptococcus intermedius. RNAcentral describes it as "bacterial SSU rRNA". It matches the Rfam family "Bacterial small subunit ribosomal RNA", at positions 28 to 485 of the family's 1533-position model. The record is from RNAcentral. Lineage: Bacteria; Bacillati; Bacillota; Bacilli; Lactobacillales; Streptococcaceae.